Molecule: long non-coding RNA, 606 nt
Filed under: Macaca nemestrina (pig-tailed macaque)
Lineage: Eukaryota; Metazoa; Chordata; Mammalia; Primates; Cercopithecidae
Description: lncRNA (ENSMNEG00000045591.1)
Source: RNAcentral
AUGCUCAGACAGCAAAACUUCUUUUCAGGCUCCCCAAGAAGGCAGGGACCCCGGUUCUCUCAAGAGCUAAUGUUGGAGCCAAUCAGUCUCAAGAGGGAGUCCCAGAAUCAAGAGGAAAUAUGGCCUUGCUCCUUGAUCCUGGGGUCAAGCCAACCUUCCUGGAUCAUACUGGGUAAAGCCAGCUCGAACAGGAUAAAACAGUCCCAAACUGACACACAUCAGAUUCCAAGCAGUUCCUGCUGAUCGAGACCAGAUAAGCCUGCAUCUAACUUGUCCUUACUGGAUCAGACCAACGUGAAUUGAAUCACAGCAGUUCAGAAGGAGGAAACUGGAUUCAGGCAAGUGAUAGUGCUUUAUAUUAGGGGAAAACAGUGUAAAGUGAUUCUUAGUAGAGCAAACAGAUCCUAACGAAAUUAAAACUGUUUAAAGUCACUUUUGUCAAAAAAGGCUGGUUCAAACUGGAUCAAAUCAGCUCUGAUUUCAAUAGCUUUUCCCUUGGUUGGGAAAAACCAUUGAAACUAUUCAACCAGCUUUGAAUAGUUUAAACCAGAUCAACCUGGUAGCAUUGCUAAAUAGCUUCAGAAUAUAUUAUUAACUAUUUAUUGA